Hydra vulgaris (swiftwater hydra) is the source of this 1366-nucleotide long non-coding RNA. RefSeq lists it as uncharacterized. Lineage: Eukaryota; Metazoa; Cnidaria; Hydrozoa; Anthoathecata; Hydridae. The record is from RefSeq and is a predicted model, not a curated record.
UGUCAACUUUAUUUAUAACAAUGAAAUCAAAUGUGUUUUAGUUUAUUAAUCAUGUCAUAUUGACGUUGUUUAUAAAUUACUAAUGCUUUGCUGUAGUUACUAUUUAUUUACUAUUUCAGUUAAACAUAAUUUUUACCAUCAAACAUUAUCAGUGUUCCAAAAGUUACCAGUGUUUCAAACAUUACCAGUGUUUCAGAUGGUCUCUGGAAGUUUGACAAGUUGUUGACGAGUUGCAAAGGAUUUCCUGAAAGCUGCCUAUCAACUCAUGCAAUUGCAACUGAUGAAAGCAGCUGAAGAAGUUUAAACAGAUGAUAAACUGUAUCAUAUUGAGGCUUCAAUUUGCCAUGAUUUAUUUGUGUCGAAGUUUUGCCCAGCCACUAUCAAGCGCUCCAAAAUUGACCACUCUAGCUCUUGUAAAUGUAAAAUUAAUUACCAAACUAUCAAACAACGCAAUGACAAAAAAGGACUCUUGUACACAGUCUGGUACAGUUAGGGUUUUGCUCACUCCAAUGAUUUAUUAAGUUUUGUGAAUCAUGUUAUUUAAUCUCUCAAAAAUUUUUUUCAAGUUUUGUAUAAGCAUUGUUGAUACUGCGUUAAAAGGUUGAUACCAGCUCACCGCCUUAAAAACAACCUCUCACUUAAAGGAUUGGCAAAGACCCUGGAGUUAAGAGAGAAAUUCUUUUCAUGUAGAACACUUCUACAUGAUGUGAUGUCGAAUCCAAGUGUUAUGUAAAAUUCGGAAACUUGCGAACACUCGACUCAAUCAAAUCUAGCCUCGAAUCUUUUCAGCAAUCAGUGUGGCUUGUACAAAGUUUUUUUGUCAAUGUAAUUUGAAAGUCAAUCAUCAGUGGGCCUGACAAUAUUCUGAAUUUGGAAAUAAUUCCACUGACAGAGUUGCAUGUCCUUAUAGAAGCUGUCAAUCAUCUUUUCAAGAUACUACAAAAUUGGUUGGAUAGAAGCUGCUAAGAGGCCAGCUGCCCUCCACAUUCACUGUGAACGAAAACAAAAAACUUUUAAAAAAAUUCAAUGUGUUCCAACUUGCUGAUACAAACUCGGUUCCUAACAUACUUCACAUAAUUUAAGCAUUUAAAAGUUUUAAAGUUUUUUUUGAAUUAAAACUUUUAGUUGUAAAAACUUUUUAAAAUUUAUACUUUAGCUUGAUUUUGCUGAAAUAAUUGAAAGUUUCAAAAAGUAUUACUUAAUGACAAUUGGCAAGCGUAACACCUAAAGUUCACACCAUCUUCUUCCAUGUCAAAGAUUUUAUCAUUUGCAAAGUAUCCUCCUAGGGACCCUAUAACAAAUAAACUGUCGAAACUGCUCAUCAAUACCUUUUAUAAACAUUGGUUAAGAACGAAACAAUAAUUAU